RNAcentral lists this ribosomal RNA (390 nucleotides) under uncultured bacterium. Its description in RNAcentral is "bacterial SSU rRNA". It matches the Rfam family "Bacterial small subunit ribosomal RNA", at positions 505 to 898 of the family's 1533-position model. The record is from RNAcentral.
GUGUCAGCCGCCGCGGUAAUACGUAGGGGGCGAACGUUGUCCGGAUUUAUUGGGCGUAAAGGGUACGCAGGCGGCCAGAUAAGUCAGAUGUGAAAUCCUAGGGCUUAACCCUAGUUAGCAUUUGAAACUGUAUGGCUUGAGUUAAGGAGAGGAAAGUGGAAUUCCUGGUGUAGCGGUGAAAUGCGUAGAUAUCAGGAGGAAUACCAGUGGCGAAGGCGACUUUCUGGACUUAUACUGACGCUGAGGUACGAAAGCGUGGGGAGCAAACAGGAUUAGAUACCCUGGUAGUCCACGCCGUAAACGAUGAGUGCUAGGUGUCGGGUGUCAAAGCUCGGUGCCGCAGCUAACGCAUUAAGCACUCCGCCUGGGGAGUACGUACGCAAGUAUGAA